This is a non-coding RNA of Cololabis saira (Pacific saury), 69 nucleotides long. Lineage: Eukaryota; Metazoa; Chordata; Actinopteri; Beloniformes; Belonidae. The record is from the annotation of a RefSeq genome assembly.
GCAGAUAUAGUUUAAUAAAAAUUUUAGAUUGUGAUUCUAGAGAUAAAGGUUAAAACCCUUUUAUCCGCC